RNAcentral lists this transfer RNA (90 nucleotides) under Candidatus Acidianus copahuensis. It matches the Rfam family "tRNA". Rfam says of the family: Transfer RNA (tRNA) molecules are approximately 80 nucleotides in length. Lineage: Archaea; Thermoproteati; Thermoproteota; Thermoprotei; Sulfolobales; Sulfolobaceae. The record is from Rfam by way of RNAcentral.
GCCGCAGUAGCUCAGUUGGAAGAGCGCCCGGCUGUUAAUGCCAAUGUAACAGUAACCGGGCGGUCGGUGGUUCGAGUCCACCCCGCGGCG